UGUGCACAUAAACCCAAAGGUCACGACCUCCUGAUGCCCUGGCUAUGUGUGGUAAAGAAAGAUUGAACCUUGUCGGCUUUCACUGGCUGUCAAAUGUGCCACUGAAAGUGAAUUCAAGGUGCGACAAGC
Small nucleolar RNA from Myxocyprinus asiaticus (Chinese sucker), 129 nucleotides. RefSeq annotates it as small nucleolar RNA SNORA68. The transcript has a single exon. The record is from RefSeq and is a predicted model, not a curated record. Lineage: Eukaryota; Metazoa; Chordata; Actinopteri; Cypriniformes; Catostomidae.